Molecule: long non-coding RNA, 500 nt
Organism: Apis cerana (Asiatic honeybee)
Lineage: Eukaryota; Metazoa; Arthropoda; Insecta; Hymenoptera; Apidae
Source: RefSeq, a predicted model, not a curated record
UCGCAAUUCCAAUAUCCAGUGCAUCGUUGCAUAUCAGUCAGUACACAUAUCCGACAAUUUACCGCAAUGACGGAUUCAAAUUUCGAUGAAUCUUUGAAUAUUGAAACUUUUAUCGAAGAAAUUGAAAACUAUCUAGAGAUUUGAAAUCUCAUUGCAAAAUAUUAUCACGAGAAAAAAAAGUGUGUGGAUAAAUAGUUUGUCGUGUUUUCUGUGAAAAUUUUGAUGAAAAUUGAACGAGAUUCGUAAGAAUGAAAUAUCUUACUCGUGGCAGUGCAACAACGAUAUUAGCAUUCCCUUCGCCUCUGUAAACACAGUCCUCGAUGGAGAAUGUCGAUGAAAGAGGGGAAGUUGUCCGGGAAUCGCCAUCGAAAUUUCCGGUGGAAGUGGUCAUCGAUUCUGGAGGAAAGGCAGUGGUCGCCACAGGAUUUCCUUCGUUGAUUUUCAUUGUUUUAUCUUUAUCCCUGCGAAAAGAAAUAAAAAUUCUCAUUAAAAUAUUCGUA